UACGUAAGGUGCAAGCGUUGUCCGGAAUUAUUGGGCGUAAAGAGCUCGUAGGCGGUCUGUCACGUCGGCUGUGAAAACCCGAGGCUCAACCUCGGGCCUGCAGUCGAUACGGGCAAACUAGAGUACUGCAGGGGAGACUGGAAUUCCUGGUGUAGCGGUGAAAUGCGCAGAUAUCAGGAGGAACACCGGUGGCGAAGGCGGGUCUCUGGGCCGUAACUGACGCUGAGGAGCGAAAGCAUGGGGAGCGAACAGG
RNAcentral lists this ribosomal RNA (253 nucleotides) under uncultured bacterium. Its description in RNAcentral is "partial 16S ribosomal RNA". It matches the Rfam family "Bacterial small subunit ribosomal RNA", at positions 524 to 776 of the family's 1533-position model. The record is from RNAcentral.